GGCUAUAGCUCAGGGGGUCGAGUGCCUGCCUCACAUGCACAAAGCUCUGGGUUCAAUCCCCAGCACCG
This 68-nucleotide transfer RNA is filed under the name Marmota monax (woodchuck). RNAcentral describes it as "tRNA.Val". The record is from RNAcentral. Lineage: Eukaryota; Metazoa; Chordata; Mammalia; Rodentia; Sciuridae.